Molecule: long non-coding RNA, 271 nt
Organism: Helianthus annuus (common sunflower)
Lineage: Eukaryota; Viridiplantae; Streptophyta; Magnoliopsida; Asterales; Asteraceae
Exons: 2
Source: RefSeq, a predicted model, not a curated record
UCAGCCGGCGUUGUAUCGAUUUGAUAAAGAUGGAAACCAGUAGAAGGAACGAGGUGCUGGAUCCGUUAGGUUUUUGAAGCAUAAGAAGACUGAAAAAGUUCGUUUGGUUAUGCGUCAAUCGAAAACCCUAAAGAUCUGUGCUAAUCAUUUAGUUAUUCCUACUAUGUCUGUUCAAGAGCAUGCUGGUAAUGAUAAGUCAUGUGUGUGGCAUGCUGCUGAUUUUGCUGAUGGUGAACUUAAGAAUGAACUGUUUUGUAUCAGGUUUGCUUCA